GGGAUAACAGUUGGAAACGACUGCUAAUUCCGCAUAAGCGCACAGGGUCGCAUGACCUGGUGUGAAAAACUCCGGUGGUAUGAGAUGGACCCGCGUCUGAUUAGCCAGUUGGUGGGGUAACGGCCUACCAAAGCGACGAUCAGUAGCCGACCUGAGAGGGUGACCGGCCACAUUGGGACUGAGACACGGCCCAAACUCCUACGGGAGGCAGCAGUGGGGAAUAUUGCACAAUGGGGGAAACCCUGAUGCAGCGACGCCGCGUGAGCGAAGAAGUAUUUCGGUAUGUAAAGCUCUAUCAGCAGGGAAGAAGAAAUGACGGUACCUGACUAAGAAGCACCGGCUAAAUACGUGCCAGCAGCCGCGGUAAUACGUAUGGUGCAAGCGUUAUCCGGAUUUACUGGGUGUAAAGGGAGCGCAGGCGGUACGGCAAGUCUGAUGUGAAAGCCCGGGGCUCAACCCCGGUACUGCAUUGGAAACUGUCGGACUAGAGUGUCGGAGGGGUAAGUGGAAUUCCUAGUGUAGCGGUGAAAUGCGUAGAUAUUAGGAGGAACACCAGUGGCGAAGGCGGCUUACUGGACGAUUACUGACGCUGAGGCUCGAAAGCGUGGGGAGCAAACAGGAUUAGAUACCCUGGUAGUCCACGCCGUAA
This 649-nucleotide ribosomal RNA is filed under the name uncultured bacterium. Its description in RNAcentral is "bacterial SSU rRNA". It matches the Rfam family "Bacterial small subunit ribosomal RNA", at positions 140 to 805 of the family's 1533-position model. The record is from RNAcentral.